GAUGAACGCUAGCUACAGGCUUAACACAUGCAAGUCGCGGGGCAGCAUGGGGGUUGCUUGCACUCCCUGAUGGCGACCGGCGCACGGGUGAGUAACGCGUAUCCAACCUGCCCUUCACCACGGGAUAACCCGGCGAAAGUCGGACUAAUGCCGUAUGUUGUCCAUUGACGGCAUCCGAUUUGGACGAAAGGCUUAGCGGUGAGGGAUGGGGAUGCGUCCGAUUAGCUUGACGGCGGGGUAACGGCCCACCGUGGCUACGAUCGGUAGGGGUUCUGAGAGGAAGGUCCCCCACACUGGAACUGAGACACGGUCCAGACUCCUACGGGAGGCAGCAGUGAGGAAUAUUGGUCAAUGGGCGUAAGCCUGAACCAGCCAAGUAGCGUGCAGGAUGACGGCCCUAUGGAUUGUAAACUGCUUUUAUGCGGGGAUAAAGGGACCCACGUGUGGGUUUUUGCAGGUACCGCAUGAAUAAGGACCGGCUAAUUCCGUG
RNAcentral lists this ribosomal RNA (490 nucleotides) under uncultured bacterium. RNAcentral's name for it is "partial 16S ribosomal RNA". It matches the Rfam family "Bacterial small subunit ribosomal RNA", at positions 28 to 507 of the family's 1533-position model. The record is from RNAcentral.